Long non-coding RNA from Coregonus clupeaformis (lake whitefish), 1625 nucleotides. RefSeq lists it as uncharacterized. NCBI's taxonomy places the organism in Eukaryota, Metazoa, Chordata, Actinopteri, Salmoniformes, Salmonidae. The record is from RefSeq and is a predicted model, not a curated record. The transcript is spliced from 3 exons.
CUGCGUGUCCGACUCCCUGCCCCCCGCCACCUUCUCCUGGCAAUACAACAAUGAACCGGUGGCAUCUGGCCAACAGGACAGUGGGGUGUUCAGCCUCCAGACCUUCUCCACCAACCAGAGCGGCCAAUGCAAGUGCGUGGCUAGCAACGCCAUCACGGGCAUGACGUCGGAGCAGGGGACGGACCUGGCAAUCGUGGGCACAUGCCUCAGUGCAGGGGCAGUGGCGGGCAUUGUGAUUGGCUGUGUGGUCGCUCUGAUCUUAAUCAUCAAAGCCAUCGUACUCCUGGUGUGCUGAGGAGAGCAGACCCACCAAGGGAGGCCUAGACACUGAGAGAUGCCAACGGACACACACACACCAGCAACUGACAAGAGGAGAAACACCAAGCAUGGAUGACUAUGGAAGCCCCACUCUAAAGCAAUGGAGACCAAGAAAAAACACACACAUGCGAGUGCGCACACACACACACAGACACACACACACACACACUCCAUCACACACAUUUCCCGCAGUCGACUCCCCCUGCCUGUCAAGUGAAUGUUAUCUGUUGAUUUUCAAAAGUACCAACAAUGACUCACUGGAAAACUCACACAGAUGUAUUAUUUCUGAAGCACCACAUAACCAAAUAGUAGGAAUGAGAAAAGGGCCUUAUUGAGGCGAGACACUUCAGGCCGUGUGUACGUGGCCUCUCCCAUUCAGCGUGUUCAGAGAGAGAAUGAGACACUACCACAACAAUGAGGACUUGAGAUGUUUGCAUUAAUGUAUUUGUGUGUGUUGCUCCUUGUGACUAGAAUGAACAGUAAAAGGGAAAGAAAAAGAGAGCCAUUGCUGGACAGAUUCCAGUUGAUUGAAUGGACUUGGCCCCUGGGAAACUACUGUGUGAGAAUUCUGAAGGAAAAACCCCCUCUGUGACUUGCUUUAUUUAAUAUUUCCAUGGAAGUAUUUAUGUGGUGCCUUUCUGUUUGCAGAUGCUUCUCUUGACACCGCUCAAUUAACGGGAUUCGCCUCAGCGCCUCGACUUCGGAAGCAAUGCUCAACUAAUUAUGAAGGAGACCCCACAAAUGGAUGGGCCACUUAUUAAUUAAGUGCUUUUAUGCGACUUAAAUGACUCGGAAAAUAAUAGUGCCCAUGCGUGGAAGAGGUCAGCACAGAGAAGCUGCUGAGCUGCCACGUUUGCCCUGACUAAGCAAUGCAAAACAAUUUGCUCGGGGACUACGAUGCUCUUUUGUGUGGGGGAUUGGCACAUUAAAAGUUAUCUCUUUUGGAAGGAAUCUUAGUUUUCUUUGGAACAAAAUGUGUAUUUAAUAUUUUUAUUUUUCUGUUACGUGGUAAAUAUGUUGGACUGCCAUUGCAAUAUGUGUCUUUGUGACUCAGGGAGGAUGUUUUAUACUAAAAUAUAUGUUCCAUGAGAAUACAGAAUAGAGUGUAAAUAAUGUUUUUAAAGAUUAGGGGUCUCCAUUGAACAUGCUUUUUUUUCAGGACUAGGCCGGCCCCAUAUUUUUUAUUGAUGAUAAUAAAGUAUUUAGAUUACCCCACGUGGUGUCUUGUGAAUGUCUAUUGUCGUGUAUUGGGAUUAUGCCUUUGUUAAAUGUUUUUCUUGAAGAAAUGGAAUGUUGUUUAUGUUAGG